RNAcentral lists this ribosomal RNA (589 nucleotides) under uncultured Bacillus sp. RNAcentral describes it as "bacterial SSU rRNA". It matches the Rfam family "Bacterial small subunit ribosomal RNA", at positions 338 to 918 of the family's 1533-position model. The record is from RNAcentral. Lineage: Bacteria; Bacillati; Bacillota; Bacilli; Caryophanales; Bacillaceae.
CCUACGGGAGGCAGCAGUAGGGAAUCUUCCACAAUGGGCGAAAGCCUGAUGGAGCAAUGCCGCGUGAGUGAUGAAGGAUUUCGGUUCGUAAAACUCUGUUGUAAGGGAAGAACAAGUAGCGUAGUAACUGGCGUUACCUUGACGGUACCUUAUUAGAAAGCCACGGCUAACUACGUGCCAGCAGCCGCGGUAAUACGUAGGUGGCAAGCGUUGUCCGGAAUUAUUGGGCGUAAAGCGCGCGCAGGUGGUUCCUUAAGUCUGAUGUGAAAGCCCACGGCUCAACCGUGGAGGGUCAUUGGAAACUGGGGAACUUGAGUGCAGAAGAGGAUAGUGGAAUUCCAAGUGUAGCGGUGAAAUGCGUAKAGAUUUGGAGGAACACCAGUGGCGAAGGCGACUAUCUGGUCUGUAACUGACACUGAGGCGCGAAAGCGUGGGGAGCAAWYAGGAUUAGAUACCCUGGUAGUCCACGCCGUAAACGAUGAGUGCUAAGUGUUGGGGGGUUUCCGCCCCUCAGUGCUGCAGCUAACGCAUUAAGCACUCCGCCUGGGGAGUACGGUCGCAAGACUGAAACUCAAAUGAAUUGACGGGG